CUGGAUAAGACGAUAAGAGAAAAAAACAAAUUCGAAUGUGAUAAGCAGAGACGAGAGUAAGAAUUGGGUUGGACACACUGAGGCAGGAAAAAGAAGAACAUUCCAGGGACAGAAAUGGAGAUGGAGGAAAGUUGACAGGCAAACUCAAGCAUGCACAGUUUGAGAAUCGGCACCGUAGCAUGGUGGAUUUGAAGUGCUCACGAUAUGGGUGUGUGUUGUUCAGCACUUCCACUAAUUGGGAUCAGGCAAAUGGAGACUAAGAGCAAUGCAAGGCUAUUAGUACCUUGAAUGGUGAGACCAGAGGACCCUCCUCAAGAAGACACUGCUUGUGGGGUUAGGGUCACAGUUAGUGGAGCAUUGAUCUCAGGAUGUAACCAGGCUCGGAUGCAAAAUGUGGCAUCAAAUGUACCUCUUCAACACUUCUUGGGGCCACUCUCUGCAUGGAAGACUGUCAAGACUGUGAGCCAGGUGGCAGGAAAGUGUGGGGGCUUAUAGGCAUGCCAAUCUGGAGAAUCAUAAUUUCUUUGGAAUGUCACCUGACUGGAAUCAAAGCUGAUGUGCAAGGUUCAGCAAUGAAAUCAAGUUAGAUUGUUGGGUUUUGUGUGUGCUUGAGCACGGAACAACAACUCAUCCUCCCUGAAGUUUUCAAAGUCUGGUCGGUGUCAAGGAAGCGGUGCCAUCUGGAUAUUCUUCUAUAUCUGGACAGGCGUGAUUGAGAGGAGAAGCCUUUUCAACAUGAAUCCAAGCACUUUUGUGUUGUUGUGCUUCUGUCCUUGGCCCAGUAUUUCUAAGGAAAAAAAACAUUUGAUUACAAGACACUGAUGGAUUUUGGUGUGUAUCAUUAGAUUUUCAGUGUUAUCUUUUGGAAACUUGGGCAAAGAGAGGGUCAGAGGUUUUGCAGAUCACCUCCUACAAGUGUGUUUUAAGCUAGUGGCUAGGUAACCUGCAAAAUAGAACUUUGAAAGCUAAUCAAUUGGUGAAGAUAAAUUGGAAACAUGACAGAGAGAAAGAGAGAGAGAGGCCAACUAAGGUGUAUAAUGUCACAAAAGUAGAAGUAAAAAGUGUAUGCUAUAGGAAAGGUACUGUUGGAAGUACUUUGUCCAAAAAAAUAUCUCAAGUAAAUGUAACUGAGAUAUAGCUAAUUACGUCCCAUGUUUGCUAAAAAAUAAACAUCUUAAACACACACGUUUGCUUUUAAAUAGAAAAACAGGAUAAGAGCCUUAGGUAAAUGCUUUGACUCUCUGCACAGUAGUUUGCCAGUGGUUGUUGCAAGACUAAAAGAGAUAAUGCCAAGACAGGAUCUGUUUUAUGUUGGUACAGUGCUUUUGGCAGAAAAAAAAAACAAUAGAUGUGAUGCAGAGCAGGCUCUUACAACAAUUUAGCACUGCUUGUUUGAACAAAAUGAGGGGGGAAAAAAACAGUUCACCAAAUGUAUGCCAACAUUUGGUUUUCAUUGCAUAAAAUGCUGAAGCAUAAUAGUGUCAUAGAUCACAGAAUUGUUGCCAAAUAAGACUGUUUGCUGCACUGUAGGCUUCGAUAGUAAAAGAAAUUGAUUAAGACGGGAGUUACAAUCAGUAUCAUUAAAUGUAAUGCACCCACAGUAAAAUUAAUCAGUCUCUCCAUAAUGUAAUGCAGAGUUAGGGCCUGUUGGUAUUUGGAUUUGAGACUUACUAUAAAUGUUAUACAAUAUUUUUUUGUGUUUAAAGUGAUGAAAAAAAAUCUUAAUUAUGAAUAAACAGAGUUGGGUUCUAGAAUGCUUGCAAAAAGGUAAGGCUGAGUAAAAGUAAGCUGAAACUUGUGGUUUUAAUUUCACACUCUUCACUGGUCUGCUACUUUAUCUUUGUAGUUGUUUUUGCCAUCAUGUGAUCAACAUUCUUAAAGUUCUAAUGUGCUAUACCUAACAUAUCAAAUUGCUUCCUCUUUUCUGUUUCUAGAUGUCUACACACUCCUUGUUGCUUAGUAUUUAUUUUCCCUGUGAAACUCUUUCUUCAAUGUUCUCUUUCAGUAAUGUUUAAUUUAGGCAAUGAUUUUCUGCAUCCCACACUGAGGUUGGGUCAACAGAAAAAGUAAAUAAGGAGGUGCAGAAAAUGUAGGAUGGUUUGGAUAAAAGCACAAUCAGGAAGUGUGGAUCCAAAGCGAGUCUGAGAGAGGGAGGCAGAGCGUGUAAUGGAAGAAAAAAAAAUACAUACGCAGGCAGAUUGCCAUCUGGUCCCAUUGAAAUUGGUUAAGACUAAAUACAGAUGGUUGCCCAGUAAAUCAAUAUAAUCUGGUUGAAGUGAUAACUUUAGAGGUGGAAACCACAAAUGGCUUUGCUGAUUUAAAUCACCUCUCAGUUCAAUGACUGACUAGGUCAUUCAUUCACUUUUGCUGAAGGUUAGUUUUUUUUCUGAUUUUGGAUGCACUUCAGUUUACUGCACAAAACAUACUAAUAUUAAGAACAGGAGAAGAACUACAGUAUCACGCAAAAUACAACAACUUUUUAAAUGGAAGUUGCGGCUACUUUAAUCUAACAUUGCGUUAAAAUGCUUCAAAUAGAUAUUGCUAAAACAAAAACACUAGGGAGCUUAUGGAAGGCCCAUGAUUUUACUAUAUAUUAUUCCUCUACUUGCUCUUGCUUUUUCAGCAUCACACCUUUGACUCAAAAAGGAGAUUUUAGAUUCACUGACAUGUCUGUAAAUAAAUCAUUGGGUCAACUUGAUUAUUAUGUUUCAGGAUUUUUGUGUGGGUUUAGAUACGAUGUGAAAUAUCCUGAUUAAUGUAGUUACUAUGUCUUGCAAAAGUAUACAUAACCCUGGAACGUUAUUUUUUGUGUGUGUGUAGACCAAGUUAUGCAUAACUGUCACUUGUAAUAGACUCCAUUAUGUGCAGUUAACUUCAGGAUAAAUACAGCUGUGCCGAAAAGGCCUCAAAGGUUUAGGGAACAUGAGCAGACAAACAGACUCAUAAAAAUCAAGGAACAUCAUACAUAGUCAGGGAUUAGUUGUGGAGAAAUUUAGAGCAGAGUUAUAAGUUUAUAGUUUCCCAAACUAUAUUAACGUCACAGAGAAUUGAUUAACCCAUCUUCUGAAAAUGAAAACAGUAUGGCGCAACUCCAACCCUACCAAGACAUGACCGUCGACCUAAACUGACAGGCCCAAGAAAAGUGUGGUUGCAGCAUCAUGUUGUGGAUAUGUCUUACUUCAAACGAAGAAACUAGUCAGAAUUGAUGGGAGGAUGUAUAUAUCAAAAUACAGGUAAAUCCUAAAAGAAAACCUAGAGAUGACUUGAGAAUGGGGGAGCCUUUCAAUUGGACAACAGCCCUGGGCAUGCAGCCUGAAGAAUCAAGAUCAAAGCAUAUGCAUGUGUUAAAAUAGUCAGUAGAAGCCACGAAUGAAUUGAAAAUUUGUCAAGAAGUAGAAAAUAAAAUUUAAAUCAAAUUCA
Xiphophorus couchianus (Monterrey platyfish) is the source of this 3420-nucleotide long non-coding RNA. RefSeq lists it as uncharacterized. The transcript is spliced from 2 exons. The record is from RefSeq and is a predicted model, not a curated record. NCBI's taxonomy places the organism in Eukaryota, Metazoa, Chordata, Actinopteri, Cyprinodontiformes, Poeciliidae.